RNAcentral lists this transfer-messenger RNA (373 nucleotides) under human gut metagenome. It matches the Rfam family "transfer-messenger RNA". Rfam says of the family: Bacterial tmRNA, also known as 10Sa RNA or SsrA, is named for its dual tRNA and mRNA-like properties. Its role is to liberate the mRNA from a stalled ribosome. The record is from RNAcentral.
GGGGUAGCACCGGUUUCGAUUGCGGGUGCGCGGUGAGGUAAGCACGUCGAGGAACGAGUGGCCUCGUUAAAACAUUCGGCCUAAAUUUAAAUGCAGACAAUGCAAAUUACAAUGCGAACGCUCAGUUCGCAUAUGCUGCUUAAUUAAAUAAGCGCUCGUCCGCACCUUAUUCCUGCCGUAAGGCAGCGGGCGUCAAUUGAGGCAGGGGACGGCCGUCCCGAUGUGAAGUCGGCGGGGCGGCGGCAUUUCGAUUUCUGCGAAUAACUUACUUCGGUCGCAAAGAAGGUUGUUUUAAGUCAAAUGCGGCAUAAACGUGUAGAAAGCCUUUCGGCAAUCUCGUAAGACGCGAGUUCAACUCUCGCCUACUCCACCA